UAAAAAAGAACAUCUUGCAAUAUAUUGCGAUACAUAUCGCAAUUUCUGCUUUCGCAUCGCAAUAUAUUGCAAUAUGAAAAUUCCCGGCAAUACCCAGCCCUAGUUCAAAUGAACUAAUAGUCUGAAAGAUUG
This is a long non-coding RNA of Haliotis rubra (blacklip abalone), 132 nucleotides long. RefSeq lists it as uncharacterized. Lineage: Eukaryota; Metazoa; Mollusca; Gastropoda; Lepetellida; Haliotidae. The transcript is spliced from 3 exons. The record is from RefSeq and is a predicted model, not a curated record.